This 28-nucleotide non-coding RNA is filed under the name Mus musculus (house mouse). The record is from RNAcentral. Lineage: Eukaryota; Metazoa; Chordata; Mammalia; Rodentia; Muridae.
UUCAUAGAAAAGGCAUUAGGACCGAGGA